This 120-nucleotide transfer RNA is filed under the name Candidatus Woesearchaeota archaeon. RNAcentral's name for it is "tRNA-Met". Lineage: Archaea; Nanobdellati; Candidatus Woesearchaeota. The record is from RNAcentral.
AGCGGGGUGGGGCAGCCAGGAGUGCCCGUCGGGCUCAUAACCCGGAGGUCGAAGGUUCAAACGAGGAGCAGAGCGGAUCGCCCAGAAAACUCUGUUUUUCUGAAUGUCCUUCCCCCGCUA